CUGCAGGAAAGAGUUCACAUUACAAUCCAUCUCCUGUAUCUUUCUUUAUGCAACAGCUUUCUUGCAAACAAUCAUACUCCAGAUGCAUUCUCGCCUUGACAGCCUGAGGUUGCUUCUUAUGAUGGAAAUGCGUUUCCCUACCCUGGGCUUGUCCAGGUUGCAGCUGACAUCAGAUGACCAUCAGCAUCACCUCUCAUGUGGUUCAGUCUCAGCUUAUUCCUGGGAUGUGCCAACACACAAUCUAGGGAAGAGACAAGGAACUGCCCAAUUACCUUGUAAAACCAGGAUCCUGCUGACUGCAUCAGUCAGCAUGGAGAGACCCUGCUGCGGACCCAAACUCGGUUUGUUGAGCACGAUUGACCCAUGUGGUGAAGGUAACACAUUCUGCGUUUGAACAAUGCCGUGUUCAGAGACAUGCAUAAACACUUUACUGCUGGCCAUUAAAUUUUAUUGCUCUCUCUAAUAUGCUUUGAGGUAACUAAACUCGUGCCUGAAAGAGGCAUUUAAACUGUUUUAACAGUAUCUACUUCACAUAAUCUUCUUUAUGGCACCAUCUUAUGGUUUUACCCAUUUUAAAUGUGUUUGUUGUUGUUUUUCAAUCAAGGGAUUUAUACUAUGACCUUUGAGCAACAGCAGCCCCUGCGAGAAGACAGCUGGCAAUGCGGUGUGCUGUACAAUCUGUGGAGAUUAAAUUCAUUUCAGUCCCUCUUAAGACAGAUGACUGGGAGGCUGGUGGAUCUGCUGGGAUUUUGGUGGAUUGAAUUCCUUUUUAUUUCAAGAGGGGAGCUGAAACAAAGAAAUAAUAGGCAUAUUUUUGCUCAGUGGAUUAAGCCCUGCCCUGAAUUGCUUCUCCAGCCUGGAUAAGAGUAGAUAGUGGUAUUCUUGUACCAAAUCCAUGGAGUAGGCAUUAGAAAGGGUAUGUAUGCGCAUGGUGAGGAACAGUACUUUUGUUCUGAUGAGCUCAAUGUGCUCCCUCCUCAUGGACUGAGUUGCUCAGGAAGGUUAAUAACUGCCCAAACAACUUGAGCUUCUGCCUCACUGCCUGGCCCU
RNAcentral lists this long non-coding RNA (1050 nucleotides) under Numida meleagris (helmeted guineafowl). RNAcentral describes it as "lncRNA (ENSNMEG00000013525.1)". Lineage: Eukaryota; Metazoa; Chordata; Aves; Galliformes; Numididae. The record is from RNAcentral.